Enhydra lutris kenyoni (northern sea otter) is the source of this 660-nucleotide long non-coding RNA. RefSeq lists it as uncharacterized. Lineage: Eukaryota; Metazoa; Chordata; Mammalia; Carnivora; Mustelidae. The transcript is spliced from 3 exons. The record is from RefSeq and is a predicted model, not a curated record.
GAAGCCUGCGACUUCCCUCUGCCCAGCCCAGCCCACUGCCUGGAUGCCUGCUGCCCCCAGCCCACGGAAGCUGGUUGGGCCCCUCGCUGUCCUCGCUGCUGUCCACUCUGCGACUGUGCCUGUGCGUGCCAGCUGCCUGACUGCCAGAGCCUCAACUGUCUCUGCUUUGAGAUCAAGCUCCGAUGAGGACCCGGAGUCCUUGCCCCUUGGAGAGUGGCCAACCCCCAGGGCCCCCACGCCCUGUUCCCUGACGGGGCCUCCAGGCACCUUCUCCAGGCCCCUGGAACCACAUAUGGCCUGCCCAGCUCAUUGGGCUGUGCAGAGCCUGGCUCCCAGCAGAGCAGGACUCAGAGAGCCCCCGGGCAUUUGGACUGUCCUUUGGAGGGCCAGGAGGGAGAGGGCCUAGCACUCUGGCAGGGGACCCCACCUGCCUAUCCUUCUCUCCAUGUAAACCGUUAUCAUUGAAGGUGAGGGUGGGAGACACUGCUCACCACAGACCAUCUAUGGGACAAACUUGAACCUGGAGUAUGAAGAUAUAGGGCUGCCCCAGCCACACCUUGGCUGUGGAUUCUUGGUUAUCUUGAGAUCCCUGUGCUGAGAUCGAUUUCUCUUGACCGCCUCUGAGGGCUUCAGGCUGGAUUUCCAAGAAAAUUUCCUCUA